Molecule: long non-coding RNA, 222 nt
Organism: Lontra canadensis (Northern American river otter)
Lineage: Eukaryota; Metazoa; Chordata; Mammalia; Carnivora; Mustelidae
Exons: 3
Source: RefSeq, a predicted model, not a curated record
GGAGGGGCGUUCGUUCUGGGCCUGAACUCGGUUGACCCUCCGCAGUUUCGUCCUCGCUGUCCUGGGCCUCCAUCCUAAGGGAGAGUCCUUGGGCCUCCUGCCUGAAGAUCACCUCUUGGGGCCAUCCUAGCCCCCAGAAGCACCCUCCAGGGAUGAUGGGGCCCCCAGGAACUCUGGCUCCUUCUGAACUGAGCUGUCAGGCUGUCCUGGAUCAACUCCGGC